Molecule: long non-coding RNA, 423 nt
Organism: Aphis gossypii (cotton aphid)
Lineage: Eukaryota; Metazoa; Arthropoda; Insecta; Hemiptera; Aphididae
Exons: 3
Source: RefSeq, a predicted model, not a curated record
CUGUAAGACACGGCGUUUUUUCCACAAUUCAGAAAUCAUUAUAAAAUAGUAUAUUAGUAUAAAUGCAUUUGAUUUUACUACUUAUCGGCUUAAGAACGUUGCAACAACUGCGUAAACAUUCAUAAGUAUAGUAAUUAACGGGUGAAAAUGAAAAAAAAACCAACAAACACGUGUGUUUUGUCUAGCAGCGUUUCGACUUCAACGUGACAUAUUUUGGUCAUCGUGAUUUUCAUAUUUCAAAUAAAAUGUUCUUCAAAAAUGUGUUUGGCUAUGGAAAAUGUGCAUUUUAAGAGUAUAUGAAUGAGAUUUAAAUAUUCAGCAGAGAAAACAGUGAUAAAGUUCAAACUGAGGUUUCAGAAGAAAAGGAAAAAUGUCGAUUGCUUGAGACUUUCACCUCGCAUGGCGGAGGACGAAGGCACACAG